AAUAAGCGGAGGAGGAAAAGAAACUAACAAGGAUUCCCCUAGUAGC
Molecule: ribosomal RNA, 46 nt
Filed under: Rhodotorula sp. APSS 849
Lineage: Eukaryota; Fungi; Basidiomycota; Microbotryomycetes; Sporidiobolales; Sporidiobolaceae
Description: partial 26S ribosomal RNA
Source: RNAcentral